This 440-nucleotide ribosomal RNA is filed under the name uncultured bacterium. RNAcentral describes it as "partial 16S ribosomal RNA". It matches the Rfam family "Bacterial small subunit ribosomal RNA", at positions 338 to 795 of the family's 1533-position model. The record is from RNAcentral.
CCUACGGGGGGCAGCAGUGGGGAAUAUUGGACAAUGGGGGAAACCCUGAUCCAGCGACGCCGCGUGAGUGAAGAAGUAUCUCGGUACGUAAAGCUCUAUCAGCAGGAAAGAAAAUGACGGUACCUGACUAAGAAGCCCCGGCUAACUACGUGCCAGCAGCCGCGGUAAUACGUAGGGGGCAAGCGUUAUCCGGAUUUACUGGGUGUAAAGGGAGCGUAGACGGCAGCUCAAGUCUGGAGUGAAAUGCCGGGGCUCAACCCCGGAACUGCUCUGGAAACUGUGAAGCUGGAGUGCAGGAGGGGUAAGCGGAAUUCCUAGUGUAGCGGUGAAAUGCGUAGAUAUCAGGAGGAACACCGGCGGCGAAGGCGGCUUACUGGACUGUAACUGACGUUGAGGCUCGAAGGCGUGGGGAGCAAACAGGAUUAGAUACCCGGGUAGUC